ACAAGAGAUAGGAUUCCAUUUAACAAAUGGCUAGGGUAACCUAAGGGAAAGUGCAACAGAAAUAUACCGCCAUGUUUCACAUGGUAAGGGUGAAAAGGCAGGGUAAGAGCCUACCGAUUUCUUGGCAACAAGAAAUGCCAUGCAAACCCAAUCCGUAGCAAGAAUAGCAGGUUAAUAUCUCUGUCUUUAAGCUAUUCGCUUGAAUAAUAUUGCGAAAUAUUAUCUAGAUAAAUAAUUACUUAAU
Molecule: unclassified non-coding RNA, 244 nt
Filed under: Helicobacter bilis
Lineage: Bacteria; Pseudomonadati; Campylobacterota; Epsilonproteobacteria; Campylobacterales; Helicobacteraceae
Description: RNase P RNA
Rfam family: Bacterial RNase P class A
About the family: Ribonuclease P (RNase P) is a ubiquitous endoribonuclease, found in archaea, bacteria and eukarya as well as chloroplasts and mitochondria. Its best characterised activity is the generation of mature 5'-ends of tRNAs by cleaving the 5'-leader elements of precursor-tRNAs.
Source: RNAcentral